UACGUAGGCAGCAAGCGUUGUUCGGAGUUACUGGGCGUAAAGGGUGCGUAGGCGGUCCUAUAAGUAUGGUGUGAAAUCUCCCGGCUUAACUGGGAGGGUGCGCUAUAGACUGUGGGACUAGAGUGUGGGAGAGGAAAGUGGAAUUCCUGGUGUAGCGGUGAAAUGCGUAGAUAUCAGGAGGAACACCGGUGGUGUAAACGGCUUUCUGGACCAUAAACUGACGCUGAGGCACGAAAAGCGUGGGUAGCAAACAGG
Molecule: ribosomal RNA, 255 nt
Filed under: uncultured bacterium
Lineage: Bacteria
Description: partial 16S ribosomal RNA
Rfam family: Bacterial small subunit ribosomal RNA
Source: RNAcentral